CCUUUUGUAUAAUGGGUCAGCGACUUAUAUUCUGUAGCAAGGUUAACCGAAUAGGGGAGCCGAAGGGAAACCGAGUCUUAACUGGGCGUUAAGUUGCAGGGUAUAGACCCGAAACCCGGUGAUCUAGCCAUGGGCAGGUUGAAGGUUGGGUAACACUAACUGGAGGACCGAACCGACUAAUGUUGAAAAAUUAGCGGAUGACUUGUGGCUGGGGGUGAAAGGCCAAUCAAACCGGGAGAUAGCUGGUUCUCCCCGAAAGCUAUUUAGGUAGCGCCUCGUGAAUUCAUCUCCGGGGGUAGAGCACUGUUUCGGCAAGGGGGUCAUCCCGACUUACCAACCCGAUGCAAACUGCGAAUACCGGAGAAUGUUAUCACGGGAGACACACGGCGGGUGCUAACGUCCGUCGUGAAGAGGGAAACAACCCAGACCGCCAGCUAAGGUCCCAAAGUCAUGGUUAAGUGGGAAACGAUGUGGGAAGGCCCAGACAGCCAGGAUGUUGGCUUAGAAGCAGCCAUCAUUUAAAGAAAGCGUAAUAGCUCACUGGUCGAGUCGGCCUGCGCGGAAGAUGUAACGGGGCUAAACCAUGCACCGAAGCUGCGGCAGCGACGCUUAUGCGUUGUUGGGUAGGGGAGCGUUCUGUAAGCCUGUGAAGGUGUACUGUGAGGUAUGCUGGAGGUAUCAGAAGUGCGAAUGCUGACAUAAGUAACGAUAAAGCGGGUGAAAAGCCCGCUCGCCGGAAGACCAAGGGUUCCUGUCCAACGUUAAUCGGGGCAGGGUGAGUCGACCCCUAAGGCGAGGCCGAAAGGCGUAGUCGAUGGGAAACAGGUUAAUAUUCCUGUACUUGGUGUUACUGCGAAGGGGGGACGGAGAAGGCUAUGUUGGCCGGGCGACGGUUGUCCCGGUUUAAGCGUGUAGGCUGGUUUUCCAGGCAAAUCCGGAAAAUCAAGGCUGAGGCGUGAUGACGAGGCACUACGGUGCUGAAGCAACAAAUGCCCUGCUUCCAGGAAAAGCCUCUAAGCAUCAGGUAACAUCAAAUCGUACCCCAAACCGACACAGGUGGUCAGGUAGAGAAUACCAAGGCGCUUGAGAGAACUCGGGUGAAGGAACUAGGCAAAAUGGUGCCGUAACUUCGGGAGAAGGCACGCUGAUAUGUAGGUGAAGCGACUUGCUCGUGGAGCUGAAAUCAGUCGAAGAUACCAGCUGGCUGCAACUGUUUAUUAAAAACACAGCACUGUGCAAACACGAAAGUGGACGUAUACGGUGUGACGCCUGCCCGGUGCCGGAAGGUUAAUUGAUGGGGUUAGCGCAAGCGAAGCUCUUGAUCGAAGCCCCGGUAAACGGCGGCCGUAACUAUAACGGUCCUAAGGUAGCGAAAUUCCUUGUCGGGUAAGUUCCGACCUGCACGAAUGGCGUAAUGAUGGCCAGGCUGUCUCCACCCGAGACUCAGUGAAAUUGAACUCGCUGUGAAGAUGCAGUGUACCCGCGGCAAGACGGAAAGACCCCGUGAACCUUUACUAUAGCUUGACACUGAACAUUGAGCCUUGAUGUGUAGGAUAGGUGGGAGGCUUUGAAGUGUGGACGCCAGUCUGCAUGGAGCCGACCUUGAAAUACCACCCUUUAAUGUUUGAUGUUCUAACGUUGACCCGUAAUCCGGGUUGCGGACAGUGUCUGGUGGGUAGUUUGACUGGGGCGGUCUCCUCCUAAAGAGUAACGGAGGAGCACGAAGGUUGGCUAAUCCUGGUCGGACAUCAGGAGGUUAGUGCAAUGGCAUAAGCCAGCUUGACUGCGAGCGUGACGGCGCGAGCAGGUGCGAAAGCAGGUCAUAGUGAUCCGGUGGUUCUGAAUGGAAGGGCCAUCG
This 1858-nucleotide ribosomal RNA is filed under the name Escherichia coli. Its description in RNAcentral is "partial 23S ribosomal RNA". It matches the Rfam family "Bacterial large subunit ribosomal RNA", at positions 604 to 2447 of the family's 2925-position model. The record is from RNAcentral. Lineage: Bacteria; Pseudomonadati; Pseudomonadota; Gammaproteobacteria; Enterobacterales; Enterobacteriaceae.